This 461-nucleotide ribosomal RNA is filed under the name Sphenomorphus indicus. RNAcentral's name for it is "partial large subunit ribosomal RNA". It matches the Rfam family "Bacterial large subunit ribosomal RNA", at positions 1923 to 2591 of the family's 2925-position model. The record is from RNAcentral. Lineage: Eukaryota; Metazoa; Chordata; Lepidosauria; Squamata; Scincidae.
UUCAACGGCCGCGGUAUUCUAACCGUGCAAAGGUAGCGUAAUCACUUGUCUCUUAAAUAGAGACUAGUAUGAACGGCUAAAUGAGGACAAGCCUGUCUCCUACAACCAAUCAGUGAAACUGAUCUUCCAGUCCAAAAGCUGAAAUACAAACACAAGACGAGAAGACCCUGUGGAGCUUUAAACCCACUACCAACCAAUUCACCUGGUAUAACGUUUUAAGUUGGGGCGACUUCGGAAAAAAACAAAACUUCCGAGACCAGAACCACCACUUCCAAGUGAGGCAGACAUGCCAAAACAAAUUAAGACCCAGUCACACUGAUCAACGAACCAAGUUACCCCAGGGAUAACAGCGCUAUCUUCUUCAAGAGUCCAUAUCGACAAGAAGGUUUACGACCUCGAUGUUGGAUCAGGACACCCAAAUGGUGCAGCCGCUAUUAAAGGUUCGUUUGUUCAACGAUUAA